ACCUGAGCCAGAAGUCGCUCCACUUUCUCUUGCACCAUAGUCUUGAGGUGAUCCAGGGUAUCAGGCAGCAGAUGAAUGGAAGGGGCCCCUUUGGCGGAUUCGAGAGCGGCGAUCCUCGCCUGGAGGUCGUUGGUUUUCACACCCAGGUACAGGCAAGACACCACGGCCACCACUGACAGGAGGGCCGCCAGGACGGCACACGGGGGCAUGGUCCGGGCACAAUGCUGUUCGGCAGGGGUCGGGUCCUCGGAUCUGGGCUCCCGGCCCCCUCCUUUCCCUGCGUGCUUCUUCAGCAGCAUCGUGGCGGGGUCGGCCGUCUCGGCUUCGCUUCCCACCCUCUACACCUCAAAUAAUCCUAAAAGGAAAGAAAAAGGUCGAUUCCUCCAAAGUUCAGUCCCUGUGGCUGCACAACUAGUUGGUGGAGUCAAGCCCACGAGCGGAUACGGACCCCUGCCUUGCUCAGCGUCCAGACCCGCAGGCGUGCACCAUCCCCGCUUUCUUCUCUCCUCCCAGCUGGAAGUGAAAAGCACCCUCCGUCCGGGGACUGGGUGGCGGUGGGGUAAAAAGCAAGACGAAACCCACCCAGACAGCUCUUCCGACUCCCAGAGGACCGACACCUCUUUCGAGGGCCCCAACAGUGGCCGCUCAGGGUCCGAGGGCAACGGCCGAGGCGCCACGCGGGGCCGCGGCUCGCCCUGGCCACGGAGGACCGGACCUGUUGCGCCUCUGUGAGUUUGCCUUAUUUCUACCUACUCGGUGUCUUUCGGCACGCCGACCUGUUUCCCACCUGCAUUCAGUUCAAGGCAAAAAGGCUGUGAGAGCACGCUACAGCGCAGCGCGAAAGGGGCGACUAAGGUGGAGAAGAGAGAGGAAAACGAAAUAAACCCAAGGAACCAAUGCUACUCGCGAAGCCGAAGUCGCGGCUGCCCGAAGGAUCUCCGCAGCCCCGCGUGCGCGAUCCUUAAAUACCCUUCGCGAUGCUCGCGAGUGAAGAAGCCACUGGGAGCCACUCCCUCUCACUCACCGAACUAUGGGAGUAAAGAAGCUGCAACAUUUCUGGAGGCUCGUCCAGGUCUUCAGAAGGGUGAGUAAGAGCAGACCUGUGACCCUUUACUUUCAUUUCUGAGGACUCUCAU
RNAcentral lists this long non-coding RNA (1136 nucleotides) under Homo sapiens (human). Its description in RNAcentral is "long non-coding RNA NONHSAT097774.2". The record is from RNAcentral. Lineage: Eukaryota; Metazoa; Chordata; Mammalia; Primates; Hominidae.